Molecule: ribosomal RNA, 531 nt
Filed under: Bufo sp. 49 YSS-2007
Lineage: Eukaryota; Metazoa; Chordata; Amphibia; Anura; Bufonidae
Description: partial 16S ribosomal RNA
Rfam family: Bacterial large subunit ribosomal RNA
Source: RNAcentral
CUAUACGUGGUGGGUUUUGACAGGGGGGGGCCCGGGUUUGUAAAACUUGUUCUUUAAAUGUGACCCAGCAGGAAUGGCAUCACUAAGGUUAUACUGUCUCCUUUUUCUAAUCAGUGAAACUAAUCUCCCCGUGAAGAAGCGAGGAUAAAACUAUAAGACGAGAAGACCCUAUGGAGCUUUAAACAUUUAUAACACUUGCUAAAUAAAAUACAAAUUUCAGAAUUAUUUACUCUUUAAGCAACUUGUCUAUAAGUUUUUGGUUGGGGUGACCGCGGAGCAUAAUACAACCUCCAUGUUGAAAGAUCUAUUUCUAAGCUAAGAGCUACACCUCUAAGCAUCAACAUAUUGACAUCCAUUGACCCAAUAUAUUUGAACAACGAACCAAGUUACCCUAGGGAUAACAGCGCAAUCCACUUCAAGAGCUCCUAUCGACAAGUGGGUUUACGACCUCGAUGUUGGAUCAGGGUUUCCCAGUGGUGCAGCCGCUACUAAAGGUUCGUUUGUUCAACGAUUAAAACCCUACGUGAUCUG